CCUUUUAAUCCUAUGGACGAGAUUAAUCCUCACCCCCAUGUAAAACCUAAUAUUUCACAAACCCUAAAUCUAAUAUACCCACUGACCCACCCUUCUCCUACAUGAAGCUCCCGCCGCACAACCAUGUCCAACUUGCCCGAAUCACACCCAAAAUCGGGCGAAUCGUCUCGCUGAGUUUGCUGGUCCCCCCAACCUCUCUCUCUCUCUCUCUCUCUUCUCCAUUUCAUCCAAACCACGUGAAGAAUAUUCUCGAACUAAUUUCUUUCUUCUUCGAGUAUGUGAUUGGACGAAUGGGAAACGUGGGAUUGAUCUAAAUCGAUCCUAGCCUUCCAUUCAACCGCGCGCUUACUUGGUUGAGAGAUUUUUCGGUUCCUUGGAGAUAAAGGCUAGAGGUUUCUAGGUUCGAUAUAUAAGGGGUUCGUUUUCAGAUUUGGGGAGGGAUUUCUUGAGAGAAAAGCUAGGGUUUUGGGGUUUUGAUUUUGAGUCCUCCUCUUAAUCUAAUUUUCAGUUUGUUCAUAGAUAAAAAAAAGGGUUCUGUUUCGUGUUGAUAAUCAGAAAAUAUUUUCAAAAAAAAAAAAGUUAGCUCUUUCUGGUUCUUGUUUAUAUUUUUAGAAGUCAGAAAAAUCAAAAAAAAGAACAACACAAAAUAAAUAUAGUUCAUUUUUCCAGUUCUGAUUUAAGCAUGGAGUUUGAUUGAACUCUGGUGGUGUUCGAAUUAUUGGAGUCGCCGCUAUGUUUCGGGUCGUGGCUCGUGGUUUCUGUUCGAAGAUCCUGCUGAGUUUCUCUGUUCCGGAUUCGCUCGAUCCAAGGUUGUAACUGCAGAAAUUUUGUUAAUUGAAGCUGCAUUUUCAGGUUCAUUUUAAACUUUUCUCUUCUCUACUUGAAUAUAUGUGGAACAAAGUAAUUGUUGCUUGGCUUAAGCCAUUAGUAAUUUCUGAAGCCUUGUUUAAUUUCUCUCUGAUUUAGUUUGCGUUGUGUUGAGUGUGUGUUUGAGUCUUAUCUUUCGGCGAUACUUUCGUUCAGAUGUGUUUAAGGUGCUUGCAUCUUUGCCUUUGUGAUUGUUCACGUACUUUUCCUUUACCAAUAUUGUUGAAAUUCUAUACGAAGCUUAGCAGUAUGCCUGCUCUUAUGAUAUUGAAUGACUCAAAAAAUGGAAAUAUGAAAUUUGUACAAUGGGUCUGUUUUUACAUAAAUCGACACUUGUUUUUGUAGUUUUUCUUUUUAAAAGGGUUUAUCUACAUAGUGUCUAGCUAAUAUAUCUUUAGCUUUUUUAGAUUCUCCAUUAGUUCCAUAUUACAUCUGUUAAAAGAAAUUUGGCAAUCUGCUUAAAGUUUUGUUCGAACUUAGUGUCGUAUUAGUUGGCUUUGUUUGAGUUUAGUAUUCAUUUAGAAGUUUUGUUCAUCCUCUGCUGAAUAUCACAAAUUUAGCGCAUAGGAGAGUGAAAUGGAAUGGUGUUAGUUUGGGAAUCGAGAUGGUAAGGAUAUGGAAAUUUUGAGGAUUAUGUCGUUAAUUUUCCCCCUUUUUGCGCCUUUCUUUCUUAAUUAGUUUUCUAAAGGUCAAUUUCGUCUCUUUAGCCAUAUUGCCACUUUAAGGAUCAAGUUUGCAGUAUUUCAUAUGGUGACAUCAUUUGAUUGCUUUAGAUAUGAUAUUAUUAUCAGUAGUCUGUUUAGUGUGCCUUCCAAGACUCACGACUCUAACCCAUUGUUCUUCGCCUAUUUGUCGUUACUCUUUUAGUUUUUCAUUAGUUUCUAUAUUUUUUAAAUAUUUGUCUGUCAUGCCUGUGGAAUGUGAAAUUGAACAUGGUGGAGGAAUUGGACCUUAAAUAUCUUAUUACUCUUGUUUAUUCCUUUAUCACUCGCUAGGAGCAUGCUUAGGCCGACAACAUUCGAGUAGGCAAUAUUAGAAUUUUUCUAUUUGUUUGCUUUUAAUUUCGUGGCAAGAGGUCAUUCCCCUAAUUGAAUUUAUCCAGGGAAUGCCCCGAUGGGUUUGUAUAUAUUAUUAUCCGAGGUAUGCCCCGAAGAACUAUGUAAAUAUUCUGGAGGCCUUGACGAGCAUGGUGGAGAAGUCGUAGUAUAGGUUAGCCUAAGAUUUUUCUUUUCCUUUCCUUUUUAUUUUCUUUUAUUAGGCGGGGACGACCUCAAGACUUGUGUGUGUUUAUUCUGCUUUUCUGUGAUUUUACCUUAACUAGAAUAUUCUAAAAGCCAACUAGAUUGGAUACGCAACCGUACUAGUUACGGGACUUGGGGAGUGUCUAACACCUUCUCCCCGAGUCAAAUGAACCCCCUUACCCAAACCUCUAGUGCGGACUUAGCUUUGAGUCCAAGUGUUUUAAAGGAAAAAUAUUUUCUAAAAAACCGGUGGCCUAGCACACCGAAAUCAAAUGCCAGCUGGCGACUCUGAGUUUUCCUUUUGAAUACAAUCUUUGUCACUUUCAGAAAUUGAAAAUCUUUUUCAGCUUUACUACAAUCUUUUUAUUUAUUUAAGGGGGUUUAGUAAGGUUGGUUAAAAAGGGGUGUGACAUCUCUGGCGACUCUGCUGGGGACAAGUAGGUUCGAGCUAGUACUUGAUUUUGUUGGUUUUUAGGAUAUUCAGUUGAGGUUUUUAUGUGUUUCGUUUGCUUUUUAUUUUGUUUAUGUCGUUUUUAUUUGCUAGUUGUUUAUUUAUUUACAG
RNAcentral lists this long non-coding RNA (2670 nucleotides) under Nicotiana tabacum (common tobacco). Its description in RNAcentral is "long non-coding RNA (NTAB_LNC011290)". The record is from RNAcentral. Lineage: Eukaryota; Viridiplantae; Streptophyta; Magnoliopsida; Solanales; Solanaceae.